Molecule: ribosomal RNA, 250 nt
Filed under: uncultured Hyphomicrobium sp.
Lineage: Bacteria; Pseudomonadati; Pseudomonadota; Alphaproteobacteria; Hyphomicrobiales; Hyphomicrobiaceae
Description: partial 16S ribosomal RNA
Rfam family: Bacterial small subunit ribosomal RNA
Source: RNAcentral
UACGAAGGGGGCUAGCGUUGUUCGGAAUUACUGGGCGUAAAGCGCACGUAGGCGGAUUGGCAAGUCAGGGGUGAAAUCCCGGGGCUCAACCUCGGAACUGCCUUUGAUACUGCCAGUCUAGAGUCCGGAAGAGGUGGGUGGAAUUCCUAGUGUAGAGGUGAAAUUCGCAGAUAUUAGGAAGAACACCGGUGGCGAAGGCGGCCCACUGGUCCGGAACUGACGCUGAGGUGCGAAAGCGUGGGGAGCAAAC